UAGGGAAUCUUCGGCAAUGGGGGCAACCCUGACCGAGCAACGCCGCGUGAGUGAAGAAGGUUUUCGGACCGUAAAGCUCUGUUGUAAGUCAAGAACGAGUGUGAGAGUGGAAAGUUCACACUGUGACGGUAGCUUACCAGAAAGGGACGGCUAACUACGUGCCAGCAGCCGCGGUAAUACGUAGGUCCCGAGCGUUGUCCGGAUUUAUUGGGCGUAAAGCGAGCGCAGGCGGUUUGAUAAGUCUGAAGUUAAAGGCUGUGGCUCAACCAUAGUUCGCUUUGGAAACUGUCAAACUUGAGUGCAGAAGGGGAGAGUGGAAUUCCAUGUGUAGCGGUGAAAUGCGUAGAUAUAUGGAGGAACACCGGUGGCGAAAGCGGCUCUCUGGUCUGUAACUGACGCUGAGGCUCGAAAGCGUGGGGAGCGAACAGGAUUAGAUACCCUGGUAGUCCACGCCGUAAACGAUGAGUGCUAGGUGUUGGAUCCUUUCCGGGAUUCAGUGCCGCAGCUAACGCAUUAAGCACUCCGCCUGGGGAGUACGACCGCAAGGUUG
RNAcentral lists this ribosomal RNA (550 nucleotides) under uncultured bacterium. RNAcentral's name for it is "bacterial SSU rRNA". It matches the Rfam family "Bacterial small subunit ribosomal RNA", at positions 355 to 896 of the family's 1533-position model. The record is from RNAcentral.